CGCUUCCCGGAGUGACGCGCGGGCCGGGGUUCCCGGGUCGGGUGGCUGGAAUCGAAACCCCAGUCAGCUCGGUUUUUCCUUGAGGGCUUUGACGUUCGGUGCACACCACGUAUUUUAACUUUCAUCUCUGCUGCCUCCUGAUCCAUGUUAAUGUAAUUGCUAAUCCUAGACCUGAACUCUUUCUUUCUGGUGGCCAUGCGAACGAUGAUGGCAAGAUCUGAGAAUGUUGAGAAAUAUUUUAAAGGAAAUGUUGAUGCAUCCAGAAAGGAGAAGGAAUAACCAGCCUAGCUGGGGCUCAAUGGUUUGAAGACCAGACCUUCCUCGUUGGGUAUUUAUUCUUCGACAUUUGGACCGCUUCCCUAAAAGUCUCCUCUCUAGGAUCUGCAUUGCCUGUUUAGAGCUAUGCUAUUUUUUUAUGAAUGCUGCUUGAUUGAGAAUGAUGCAAACCACUGAGAUACCAUGGCAGAGGAAAACAGUUCCUUUAGGAGAGAUCAUCACAGCUCACUUAUAUUCACAUCAUAGACUGGGGUAAAAUUAUCCUUUAAAAUCUUAGUGUGAAUGAAGAAUCUGCAGACAAACGCAUUUCACAGAUUCCUAGUGGUUGUUAGGUUGGACUUUCAACACAAGAGUAUUUACCGAGUCAAAGGCCAUGGAUUCUCGUGUUAGACAAGAACAUCGAAAUUAAGAAAUGAUCCUGAGAAAUUCGGUAAAUUCUACACGGACUCAGGUUUUGAGUCUAAAGGUAAGUCCCACGUGGCUAAAGGUCAUAUUCCAAGUUGCUUCCCUGUCUCCACGCUCAGGAAGUUCUAGCGCCGUCGGUCAGAGGCCCUGAGCUCAGGCCCUGGCCAACACCUAUAAUCCAUCAUCCCAGGGCCCCGCGGCCUCCUUCUCGGAGUUCCCCGGGAAGCCCUGGAAAGGGGGUAUCCCAGUGAUCGUUAGGGAACAGAACACGAGGUCCAGCUCGUCUGUCGUUCAUUCAUUGGGCAGUAAACACAGGUAACGACACGCAGCGCGGGCGACGAACCCUGCUGUAAACCCGGUACGCGCCGUCGCUGGGGCGCGGGGUCCCCAGUGACUCAGAGCCCGACCGGCCUUCCGGGCUCGGCGCGUCCCGGGGGGCGGGGGCCGGAAGGGCGCGGCCGGGGGCGGAGCCGGUGCGGCCUGGGAGGGCGUGUCCCCGAGGAGGCGGAGACAAGAUGGGCGCUCGGAACGCUUGGAGGACCUAAGAGGCGGCGGCCGGGGCCACGCCCCGGGCGGGAGGGCCGCUCUGUGCGCGCCCGCUCUAUGAUGCUUGCGCGCGUACCCCGCGCGCCGCGCUGCGGGCGGGGCGGGUCUCCGGGAUUCCAAGGGCUCGGUUACGGAAGAAGCGCAGCGCCGGCUGGGGAGGGGGCUGGAUGCGCGCGCACCCGGGGGGAGGCCGCUGCUGCCCGGAGCAGGAGGAGGGGGAGAGCGCAGCGGGCGGCAGCGGCGCUGGCGGCGACUCCGCCAUAGAGCAGGGGGGCCAGGGCAGCGCGCUCGCCCCGUCCCCGGUGAGCGGCGUGCGCAGGGAAGGCGCUCGGGGCGGCGGCCGUGGCCGGGGGCGGUGGAAGCAGGCGGGCCGGGGCGGCGGCGUCUGUGGCCGUGGCCGGGGCCGGGGCCGUGGCCGGGGACGGGGCCGGGGCCGGGGCCGGGGCCGCGGCCGUCCCCCGAGUGGCGGCAGCGGCCUUGGCGGCGACGGCGGCGGCGGCGGCUGCGGCGGCGGCGAUGGGGCAUCAGCAUGGGUGGGGGCAGCGCCUACCGGCGGGAGCCGGUCCCUUUCCCGUCGGGGAGCGCGGGGCCGGGGCCCAGGGGACCCCGGGCCACGGAGAGCGGGAAGAGGAUGGACUGCCCGGCCCUCCCCCCCGGAUGGAAGAAGGAGGAAGUGAUCCGAAAAUCUGGGCUCAGUGCCGGCAAGAGCGAUGUCUACUACUUCAGUCCAAGUGGUAAGAAGUUCAGAAGCAAACCUCAGUUGGCAAGGUAUCUUGGAAAUACUGUGGACCUCAGCAGUUUUGAUUUCAGAACUGGAAAGAUGAUGCCUAGUAAAUUACAGAAGAACAAACAGAGACUACGGAACGAUCCUCUCAAUCAGAAUAAGGGUAAACCAGAUUUGAAUACAACGUUGCCAAUUCGACAAACAGCAUCAAUUUUCAAACAACCAGUAACCAAAGUCACAAAUCAUCCUAGUAAUAAGGUGAAAUCAGACCCACAGCGAAUGAAUGAACAGCCACGUCAGCUUUUCUGGGAGAAGAGGCUACAAGGACUUAGUGCAUCAGAUGUAACAGAACAAAUUAUAAAAACCAUGGAACUACCUAAAGGUCUUCAAGGAGUUGGUCCAGGUAGUAAUGAUGAGACCCUUUUAUCUGCUGUUGCCAGUGCUUUGCACACAAGCUCUGCGCCAAUCACAGGGCAAGUCUCUGCUGCUGUGGAAAAGAACCCCGCUGUCUGGCUCAACACAUCUCAACCCCUCUGCAAAGCUUUCAUUGUCACAGACGAAGACAUUAGGAAACAGGAAGAGCGAGUGCAACAAGUACGCAAGAAGCUGGAAGAAGCACUGAUGGCAGACAUCUUGUCCCGGGCUGCGGACACAGAAGAGAUGGAUAUUGAAAUGGACAGUGCAGAUGAAGCCUAAGAAAAUGAUCAGGGCAUUCACAUCCCUGAAGUCACCCAUGAGGGAUCUGCCUCCUUGGUUAAAGCCAGGUGGAAAAUCUCCAAGGCAUCAUUGGAGAAAAGCAGAGAAAGAUGAGAAGGGCUCUGCCCAGGUAGGAAUCAUGGCUGCGGAAUGUGGCAGCAGCGCUCAUCUCUGCAGUACUGGCCUCCUAGAGUACUUUGUCCUUUCUUUAAAAUCGUGCUGCAAAGUAGGCGAAAUCUCCCUCUUUCUAAGUUCUCUCUAGCAGACUUGAUGUAUGCAGAAUAAGGACAUAAUCAACCCUAAAAAAAAGGAAAUUUGGUUUUCUACUGAGCACACAUAAGAGGUUCCUGGGCUCUGUUCCAGUGGACAUACGUCCUCUGUAGGUGAUGACACACAAUUGGAUGUGUGUUCUGUAGAUGAUGGCACAAAAACCUCAGAGGCCACACUUUGCUUCCCAGCUCCCAUCCUGUUUUGUUUGGGCAGCCCUUGUCUUGCUUUCUGCCACCCCAGCUGUGCUGAUUUAUUUGUUUCCUUGAAGCCAAAGGUGGUGGUGGUGGUGGGGUGCUGGGGAAGCUCACAUGAUGUGAAGGGUCCACAGCCCUGUCUGAAUAAGUGCCUUUAUACUGACCCUGAAGGAUGGGUAGGAGUGAGCCAGGGGGAGGUGGGGUAGAAAGUCCUGAAAGAACAGAAAGCAGAAGCCUCGUUUCUUUAUGGAACAGCAAUGAAAAGUCAAUGUGGUUGGAAUGCAGUAACUCUGGGGAGGGUUGGGGAAUGUGUGAAAGACAUUCCUAGUCACGGUGCCUGUGGGUUAUAAAAGACAUUGAGUGUGAUCAUUAAACCCUGUGGGAAUCCACUAAAGGGUCAGUAGCAUGAACAGGUUUGCUUAUUUACGGGAUCUCUGUGGCUGCUGCAUGGAGUAGGGAAGCCUGGACUCCAAAUCCACUUGGGGGGUUUUGUGGUUCCAACAAGAAAUGGUGGUGGCUUCAUGAGGGUGCUGGCAGCGUGUGAGGGAAGAGAAGAGGGAAAGGGCAGAUCCGUGUUUGGAAAUAAAAUCGACUUGGCCAGGUGAGUGGGUGCAAGAGUGGCCAAGAUGACUUGGGCUUGUCAGGCAAGUGAGUAGAAGGAUUCCCAUUCAGUAGAGAAGGGUGUGCAGUGUGGCAGGGGAGUUCAAUACUGGAAACACAGUCUUACCUUCCUACGACUGCCUCUUUCUUUCUUUUUUCUUUUUUCUUUCUUUCUUUUUUUUUUUUGGACAGGCAGAGUGGAUAGUGAAAGAGAGACAGAGAGAAAGGUCUUCCUUUUGCCAUUGGUUCACCCUCCAAUGGCCGCUGCGGCCGGUGCACCGCGCUGAUCCGAUGGAGGAGCCAUGUACUUAUCCUGGUAUCCCAUGGGGUGCAGGGCCCAAGCACUUGGGCCAUCCUCCACUGUACUCCCUGGCCACAGCAGAGAGCUGGCGUGGAAGAGGGGCAACCGGGACAGAAUCCGGCGCCCCGACCGGGACUAGAACCAAGUGUACCGGCGCUGCAAGGCAGAGGAUUAGCCUAGUGAGCUGCGGCGCCAGCCUGCUUUUUUCUUAAUUCAGGGUCAGUUCGUGCCACCUGUUACCAAAAUCAAUAUAAUGUCUUAGAUCAGCAACACUUUGGGUCACACAGUUUUCUGACUGUUCAGAACCAUUUGAAUCCAGUUCAGUUCUUUUUUAAAUCUUU
Molecule: non-coding RNA, 4353 nt
Organism: Oryctolagus cuniculus (rabbit)
Lineage: Eukaryota; Metazoa; Chordata; Mammalia; Lagomorpha; Leporidae
Source: RefSeq, a predicted model, not a curated record